Non-coding RNA from Xenorhabdus cabanillasii JM26, 127 nucleotides. NCBI's taxonomy places the organism in Bacteria, Pseudomonadati, Pseudomonadota, Gammaproteobacteria, Enterobacterales, Morganellaceae. The record is from Rfam.
AACCCCCUGAAAUCUGUCAAUCAACUUGGCGGUAGAUUCAGAUAUUCAGAGGGUCGUAAAGCAGGCACUAGCCUGUUAAGGAUUAUAGCAAAUGCGUAGCCUUAAACAACUCCUUUCUGCCGCCAUA